Molecule: long non-coding RNA, 566 nt
Filed under: Drosophila guanche
Lineage: Eukaryota; Metazoa; Arthropoda; Insecta; Diptera; Drosophilidae
Source: RNAcentral
CUGGCAUUCGUCUAAUUAGUUUUUGGCAUCUAAAAAUAGAGCGAGACGAUAAAUAUAGGUUUCGAAGGGGGAGCUCUGGCGCAUAACACAUUUCAUCUGGCGCUUCGUCUCGUCUCCGUUCCCGGCUCCAGUCCGCUUAUGCGUGAUAAUUCAAUUAGGAAUGUGUGAAUCAGCAGCAACAACAAUCAGCGGCAACAGCAGUGGCAGCCGCGGCAGCGACAGCAGCACCAAAGUGCAGCGGAAGCAAAGAGAGAAAAAGAAACAGAAACAAGAAACAAGAAACUCGAAAAAAAUUGUCCACCAAAACGCAACCUCAAUAGAAACACAAGACCAAAGAGGAGCAGAAGCAGAAGCAGGGAGAAGAGAGAACGAGAAAACCAUGUCCAUGUUGCAACCCUGUUUGUAUCGGUCGACGCCAGCAGAAGCAGAGAAACACAACAGACAGAGCAGAGCUGCUGUCGGUCUAUGGACUGGAGGGACGUGAUGCGGGGCAUUAUAUGCGCAGCUUGUGUGCCUCGAAAAUACAUACAGCAGCGGGCAGUGAAAUAUGGACAGUCAAAACAAAG